Molecule: ribosomal RNA, 1307 nt
Filed under: Austrofusus glans
Lineage: Eukaryota; Metazoa; Mollusca; Gastropoda; Neogastropoda; Buccinidae
Description: 16S ribosomal RNA
Rfam family: Bacterial large subunit ribosomal RNA
Source: RNAcentral
AUUAAGGUAUAAAAAUUUUAAUUAAAAAUAUUUUAAAACAUUUUUAAAUUAAGUUAUGGUGAUUAAAAAUUAUUUAAUUAGUACCUUAAAAUAAGUACUGUGAAGGAAUAUUAGUAAAUUAAACAUAAGAAAAAAUUUAAACUUGUACCUUUUGCAUCAUGGUUUAGCUAGAUAUGCAUUUUAUAUUAUAAAUUUCUCGAAACCUAAUGAGCUAUUUUUAUUCUUUUUAUUAGAAAAUUAGGACUAAUUGUAGCAAAAAUUUUCCUAGAAAUAAAAAUAGAAAUGAAAUUUUAUCCGUAUUAGGUGAUAGCUAGUUCUUUUAUUAAGGCAUAGAAGUGCUCCAAAUCAAAUUUUCUUUAUAAAAUAAAUAUAAAAUAAACUUUGAUUUGAUUAUAUUUUUGAGGAUAAGCUCGAAAAUCAGAAAUUACAUUUACAUAUCAUUUUAACUGAAAUUUAAGCUUGAAGAUAGCUAUAAUUAUGAUUUUGUUACAAUUCCAUUAAACAAAUCAAAAAAUGAUUUAUUUGUUCUAAAUAAUAAAAGAAAACUUUUAGAUUAACAUUUAAGUUAAACUUAUGCUAAAAUGAGUAUUAAUUACUAUAUAAAUUUUUAAUAAUAUAUACAUUAAAUCUAACUUUUAUAUACAACUUUUGAAAUCAUAAAAAGGAACUCGGCAAAUACAUAUUCUGCCUGUUUAGCAAAAACAUGGCUCCUUGAACCUAUAUAAAUAAGGAGUCGGACCUGCCCAGUGAAUUUUCUUUAACGGCCGCGGUACUCUGACCGUGCAAAGGUAGCAUAAUCAUUUGCCUUAUAAUUGAAGGCUAGUAUGAAUGGUUUGACAAGAAUAUAGCUGUCUCUUUAUGAUUAAAUAGAAUUUUAUAUAUAGGUGAAGAAGCCUAUAUCUAAUUAAAAGACAAGAAGACCCUAUCGAGCUUUAAAUAAAUUAGUAGGUGCAAUUAAUUAAUAAAACUAAAAAAUUAACUACUAAAAAUUUUUAGUUGGGGCGACUGAGGAACAAAUAAAGCUUCCUUUAUAUUUAUAAAUCACACAAGUACUGAUCCAAAAUAUUUUGAUUAAAGGAAUUAGUUACCGUAGGGAUAACAGCAUUAUCUUUUUUAAGAGCUCUUAUCGAAAAAAAGGUUUGUGACCUCGAUGUUGGACCAGAAUAUCCUAAAGAUGCAGAAGUCUUUAAGGGUUGGUCUGUUCGACCAUUAAAAUUCUACGUGAUCUGAGUUCAGACCGGCGUGAGCCAGGUCAGUUUCUAUCUUUAAUUUAUAUAAAUAAACUUAGUACGAAAGGACCAGUUUAU